CCUACGGGCGGCAGCAGUGGGGAAUAUUGCACAAUGGGCGCAAGCCUGAUGCAGCCAUGCCGCGUGUGUGAAGAAGGCCUUCGGGUUGUAAAGCACUUUCAGCGGGGAGGAAGGCGUUAAGGUUAAUAACCUUGGCGAUUGACGUUACCCGCAGAAGAAGCACCGGCUAACUCCGUGCCAGCAGCCGCGGUAAUACGGAGGGUGCAAGCGUUAAUCGGAAUUACUGGGCGUAAAGCGCACGCAGGCGGUCUGUCAAGUCGGAUGUGAAAUCCCCGGGCUCAACCUGGGAACUGCAUUCGAAACUGGGAGGCUAGAGUCUAGUAGAGGGGGGUAGAAUUCCAGGUGUAGCGGUGAAAUGCGUAGAGAUCUGGAGGAAUACCGGUGGCGAAGGCGGCCCCCUGGGCAAAGACUGACGCUCAGGUGCGAAAGCGUGGGGAGCAAACAGGAUUAGAUACCCUUGUAGUC
This 465-nucleotide ribosomal RNA is filed under the name uncultured Klebsiella sp. Its description in RNAcentral is "bacterial SSU rRNA". It matches the Rfam family "Bacterial small subunit ribosomal RNA", at positions 338 to 795 of the family's 1533-position model. Lineage: Bacteria; Pseudomonadati; Pseudomonadota; Gammaproteobacteria; Enterobacterales; Enterobacteriaceae. The record is from RNAcentral.